GGAGAGGCGCUGGCGCCGGCUCUGGCGCGGAGAGGUGCAGGCCCAGGCUCCACUCCCCAGCUGUGAAAGGGGAUUCCAAGCGACAGGGACGGGGUUUCACUGUGUUGGCCAGGAUGGUCUCGAUCUCUUGACCGUGUGAUCUGCCUGCUUCGGCCUCCCAAAGUGCUGGUAUUACAGGCGUGAGCCACUGCGCCCAGUCAAAGAUGUUCUCUUUUAAGAUUACUUUUUAAAAAGACUCACACGGUACCUUCCCACAAGAAGACAUGGAGACUAUGUGACGUAGCCUGUGGGUCCCUGGACACCGGGACUAGAGGACCCUUCCCAAGAGCAGACCGCAGGCAAGAUACCAUUCAUUGGCCUCGCUGCCUGUGCCCGCGGAUUCCGCACGUGGCCACACCUCUUCUAUACAAGGCAAGGUGGCGGUAGGAGCUGCACUCCUUUCUCUAGUGUUGCCAAGAUUUCCAUCACUGGAAUGUGAAGCCCUUCACCUCUCAGAAUGCCAGAGAGAAGGAGUCCCUCCUGUGGUCCUGCAGUGUCACCCCAAAAGCUGCCCAGGUUGCCAGAUGUGUCUGAGAGAAGUGAGGCCACCUGACUCAUUUAGCCCAGUGCAGGGGAACUUCUCUGAAUGUGGCCCGGGUGCUUGAAAGAGCUCUACCCCACAAGUGGAAACCCCUCUUCUCCACUAGGUAUUCUGCUCUCAGAUCCACCCCUGCUGAGAAUACACUUCUGGUGGAGAGGCACUGCUCCUAAGUGCUGUCAGCAAUGAGGACUUCCUGUCUGGAGUAGGGUAGUCCCAGUGAAACUGACUAUCACUACAGGGCCCGGCUCGCCUCCGUUCGUGUACCCCAGCACACCAGGCACAUCGCUUACUGCUGGUUCUUUACAUGCCAGCCAGAUUCAGCUGUGGAUGCUGUAGGCAUUUAGUUUAGAGAUCUUCCUCCACCCUGGGCAGUAAAACAGUGUCUGAAGUUGACUUAAUGGCCUCCCAAGCCUGGUCUCCUACCCGCUGGGCAAAAGCUGCAGGAUGGGUCCUGCCUCGGUCAUGGGAAUGAAUAUGAAACCGAAAGAGCCAGUCCUUCAAGAUGGAUCCCUAGUGGCUAACUGGGCCUAAAUUUAACAUUGAGCCUAGUGGUCAUUUAUUGACUAGACAUCACAGAUGUACUCUGUGUCAACAGAAAACCCAUACCUCUGUUCAACUUUGGGACUUUCAGAACUCACCUGAACCAACCAAUCAGAACUUAGCUUCAUCAAGUAAUUAGAACUAAGCAAGUUUGAAUCCUUCAUUUGCAUAAAUGGACUUGAGUGGGAACCCGGACAGGAACUUUUGCUGUCAAAACUGAAACCUCCUUUUGCUCCCUGGAAGGAACCUUCAUUUUAGACCACAGGUCACAUCUCCCCAUUUUGCAAACUGCUUAGU
Molecule: long non-coding RNA, 1417 nt
Filed under: Homo sapiens (human)
Lineage: Eukaryota; Metazoa; Chordata; Mammalia; Primates; Hominidae
Description: HSALNT0304030
Source: RNAcentral